Non-coding RNA from Helianthus annuus (common sunflower), 107 nucleotides. NCBI's taxonomy places the organism in Eukaryota, Viridiplantae, Streptophyta, Magnoliopsida, Asterales, Asteraceae. The record is from Rfam.
AAUCCAUGAUGUGGACAUUUUCUAAGGAAUACCUUGAAAAGUUACCAAGUUUCAUACAAAGAUUCCCCAUCAUCUUGAGUGAAAGAAUAAAUUUCAGGCAUGAGUUU